AAACAGUAUGAAAGGAGAAAAGGUUAGCACUCCCUUUGAUGCAGAUGGAAGGGAUCCUAGUGGACUUAUAACAUACAAAUGGUUAAGGCAUUGCCAUUUACUCAGUGGCAACUCACCAUGUUUU
Molecule: small nuclear RNA, 124 nt
Organism: Chiloscyllium plagiosum (whitespotted bambooshark)
Lineage: Eukaryota; Metazoa; Chordata; Chondrichthyes; Orectolobiformes; Hemiscylliidae
Source: RefSeq, a predicted model, not a curated record